UUGAAACACCUGUUCCUUUAUGAUCACCAAAGUUAAACAAUGUCAAGCCUGGUUAGUACCUAGAUGGGUAACCACUUGGGAUGUGCAGAUGGUGUA
Acanthosepion pharaonis is the source of this 96-nucleotide non-coding RNA. The record is from the annotation of a GenBank genome assembly. Lineage: Eukaryota; Metazoa; Mollusca; Cephalopoda; Sepiida; Sepiidae.